RNAcentral lists this ribosomal RNA (319 nucleotides) under uncultured bacterium. RNAcentral's name for it is "bacterial SSU rRNA". It matches the Rfam family "Bacterial small subunit ribosomal RNA", at positions 214 to 524 of the family's 1533-position model. The record is from RNAcentral.
GUCACUACAGGAUGGGCCCGCGGCGCAUUAGCUACUUGGUGAGGUAACGGCUCACCAAGGCGACGAUGCGUAUCCGACCUGAGAGGGUGAUCGGCCACACUGGGACUGAGACACGGCCCAGACUCCUACGGGAGGCAGCAGUAGGGAAUCUUCCACAAUGGACGAAAGUCUGAUGGAGCAACGCCGCGUGAGCGAAGAAGGUUUUCGGAUCGUAAAACUCUGUUGUGAGGGAAGAACAAGUACGAGAGUAACUGCUCGUACCUUGACGGUACACUCAUUAGAAAGCCACGGCUAACUACGUGCCAGCAGCCGCGGUAAU